This 23-nucleotide non-coding RNA is filed under the name Cricetulus griseus (Chinese hamster). Lineage: Eukaryota; Metazoa; Chordata; Mammalia; Rodentia; Cricetidae. The record is from RNAcentral.
GGGGAUUUGAUUUACAGGGACUG